RNAcentral lists this ribosomal RNA (253 nucleotides) under uncultured bacterium. RNAcentral's name for it is "partial 16S ribosomal RNA". It matches the Rfam family "Bacterial small subunit ribosomal RNA", at positions 524 to 776 of the family's 1533-position model. The record is from RNAcentral.
AACGUAGGAGGCGAACGUUAUCCGGAUUUACUGGGUGUAAAGCGCGUGCAGGCGGAUUAGUAAGUUGCUUGUGAAAGCGCCCGGCUCAACCGGGCGAGGACGAGCGAAACUGCUAGUCUUGAGGUAGGUAGAGGCGUAUGGAAUUCCGGGUGUAGUGGUGAAAUGCGUAGAGAUCCGGAGGAACACCAGUGGCGAAGGCGAUACGCUGGGCCUGACCUGACGCUAAGACGCGAAAGCAUGGGGAGCGAACGGG